This is a non-coding RNA of Kogia breviceps (pygmy sperm whale), 804 nucleotides long. The record is from RefSeq and is a predicted model, not a curated record. Lineage: Eukaryota; Metazoa; Chordata; Mammalia; Artiodactyla; Physeteridae.
GUGACUUGUUCUUAUAUUUCACCUAAGAUGGCUCUGCUGGGAUGAGGGGAAAGGGUGUUAGGCUGUGGAGAGAAGGACAAGACACCCACAAGCUGCCCUUCUGCACCCACAAGCAAUCUGCACAGAGGUGCCAUGUUGGGGGCUGGGAACAUAAUGAUGAUCAAGAGAGACAAAAGUGGAGCUGCCAUCCUCGACGGGGUAGACAGACAAGCAAAACCCAGGGCGCGCUGGGAAGCGUGGUGAGAGCUACGGAGACAAAUGAAGUGAGGAAGGGCGUGCCAAGAGCCAGCGAAGGCUGAGCGGUGACAUUUAAGCAGAGACCUGAAGGCGUGAGAGCAAGCCAGCCUCGGGAAUGGUGUCCCAGGCAGAGGGAACGACAAGGGCAAAGGCCCCGAGAAAUCAUUACAAUUAGCUGUUUACUGACUGCCUCCCUUGUUACUUGGGGCUUCAGGAAGCCAGGAAUGGACCUUGUAUCAUUCCUCCUAUAAAACCCUAUGAGAGGACUUCCCUGGUGGCACAGUGGUUAAGAAUCCACCUGCCAAUGCAGGGGACACAGGUUCAAACCCUGGUGUGGGAAGAUCCUACAUGCUGCGGAGCAACUAAGCCCGUCCACCACAACUACUGAGCCUGUGCUCUAGACCCCGCAAGCCACAACUACUGAGCCCACGUGCCACAACUACUGAGCCCGCGCACCUAGAGCCCGAGCUCCACAACAAGAGAAGCCACUGCAAUGAGAAGCCCACGCAGCGCAACGAAGAUUAGCCCGAGCUCACUGCAACUAGAGAAAGCCUGCACGCAGCAACA